This 1163-nucleotide ribosomal RNA is filed under the name Escherichia coli. Its description in RNAcentral is "partial 23S ribosomal RNA". It matches the Rfam family "Bacterial large subunit ribosomal RNA", at positions 612 to 1774 of the family's 2925-position model. The record is from RNAcentral. Lineage: Bacteria; Pseudomonadati; Pseudomonadota; Gammaproteobacteria; Enterobacterales; Enterobacteriaceae. RNAcentral also lists the same sequence under 1 other name.
AUAAUGGGUCAGCGACUUAUAUUCUGUAGCAAGGUUAACCGAAUAGGGGAGCCGAAGGGAAACCGAGUCUUAACUGGGCGUUAAGUUGCAGGGUAUAGACCCGAAACCCGGUGAUCUAGCCAUGGGCAGGUUGAAGGUUGGGUAACACUAACUGGAGGACCGAACCGACUAAUGUUGAAAAAUUAGCGGAUGACUUGUGGCUGGGGGUGAAAGGCCAAUCAAACCGGGAGAUAGCUGGUUCUCCCCGAAAGCUAUUUAGGUAGCGCCUCGUGAAUUCAUCUCCGGGGGUAGAGCACUGUUUCGGCAAGGGGGUCAUCCCGACUUACCAACCCGAUGCAAACUGCGAAUACCGGAGAAUGUUAUCACGGGAGACACACGGCGGGUGCUAACGUCCGUCGUGAAGAGGGAAACAACCCAGACCGCCAGCUAAGGUCCCAAAGUCAUGGUUAAGUGGGAAACGAUGUGGGAAGGCCCAGACAGCCAGGAUGUUGGCUUAGAAGCAGCCAUCAUUUAAAGAAAGCGUAAUAGCUCACUGGUCGAGUCGGCCUGCGCGGAAGAUGUAACGGGGCUAAACCAUGCACCGAAGCUGCGGCAGCGACGCUUAUGCGUUGUUGGGUAGGGGAGCGUUCUGUAAGCCUGCGAAGGUGUGCUGUGAGGCAUGCUGGAGGUAUCAGAAGUGCGAAUGCUGACAUAAGUAACGAUAAAGCGGGUGAAAAGCCCGCUCGCCGGAAGACCAAGGGUUCCUGUCCAACGUUAAUCGGGGCAGGGUGAGUCGACCCCUAAGGCGAGGCCGAAAGGCGUAGUCGAUGGGAAACAGGUUAAUAUUCCUGUACUUGGUGUUACUGCGAAGGGGGGACGGAGAAGGCUAUGUUGGCCGGGCGACGGUUGUCCCGGUUUAAGCGUGUAGGCUGGUUUUCCAGGCAAAUCCGGAAAACUAAGGCUGAGGCGUGAUGACGAGGCACUACGGUGCUGAAGCAACAAAUGCCCUGCUUCCAGGAAAAGCCUCUAAGCAUCAGGUAACAUCAAAUCGUACCCCAAACCGACACAGGUGGUCAGGUAGAGAAUACCAAGGCGCUUGAGAGAACUCGGGUGAAGGAACUAGGCAAAAUGGUGCCGUAACUUCGGGAGAAGGCACGCUGAUAUGUAAGUGAAGCGACUUGCUC